AGUGAACGCUGGCGGUAGGCCUAACACAUGCAAUUCGAACGGCAGCACAUUAAGAGCUUGCUCUUACGGGUGGCGAGUGGCGGACUGGUGAGGAAUACAUCUGAAUCUACUUUUUCGUGGGGGAUAACGUAGGGAAACUUACGCUAAUACCGCAUACGACCUACGGGUGAAAGCAUGGGAUCUUCGGACCUUGCGCGAUUGAAUGAGCCGAUGUCGGAUUAGAUAGUUGGCGGGGUAAAGGCCCACCAAGGCGACGAUCCGUAGCUGGUCUGAGAGGAGGAUAAGCGACACUGGAACUGAGACACGGUCCAGACUCCUACGGGAGGCAGCAGUGGGGAAUAUUGGACAAUGGGCGCAAGCCUGAUCCAGCCAGACCGCGUGGGUGAAGAAGGCCUUCGGGUUGUAAAGCCCUUUUGUUGGGAAAGAAAAGCAGCAGGUUAAUACCCCGCUGUUCUGACGGUACCCAAAGAAUAAGCACCGGCUAACUUCGUG
This 492-nucleotide ribosomal RNA is filed under the name uncultured bacterium. RNAcentral's name for it is "partial 16S ribosomal RNA". It matches the Rfam family "Bacterial small subunit ribosomal RNA", at positions 29 to 507 of the family's 1533-position model. The record is from RNAcentral.